AAGUCGUAACAAGGUUUCUGUAGGUGAACCUGCAGAAGGAUCAUUAGUGAAGAUUUGGGCAGGCCAUACGGACGCCAAAAAGUGUCCCUGGCCGCCUACACCCACUAUACAUCCACAAACCCGUGUGCACUGUCUUGGAGAAAGGCUUCUUGAGAAGUUAUGUGACCUCUCUUGGGGUCUUUCUUCGCUACAAACUCGAAUGGUUAGUAUGAACGUGGAACUUGGUUGGACCGUCACUGGCCAACAAACUAUACACAACUUUCGACAACGGAUCUCUUGGUUCUCC
Molecule: unclassified non-coding RNA, 286 nt
Filed under: Malassezia restricta
Lineage: Eukaryota; Fungi; Basidiomycota; Malasseziomycetes; Malasseziales; Malasseziaceae
Description: partial internal transcribed spacer region
Rfam family: Eukaryotic small subunit ribosomal RNA (bases 1-46)
Source: RNAcentral